RNAcentral lists this small RNA (617 nucleotides) under Pongo abelii (Sumatran orangutan). RNAcentral describes it as "processed transcript". The record is from RNAcentral. Lineage: Eukaryota; Metazoa; Chordata; Mammalia; Primates; Hominidae.
GGCGACCCAGGCAAACAGCAGCAACUUGUUGAAGUGCUCUUCCGGGUUGUAGGAGGUUUGUUCUUUUCCUAUUUGCAGUAUAUGUACUGCUGCUGCUCGUUCUUUGGGUCCUUGCCGCGUUUAUGAGCUGUAAUGCUCACGGGAAAGGUGUGCAGCUUCACUCCUCAAACUCUAGCAAGAUUACUGAACCAUGGAAGCUCAGGACGAGCCACUUUUAUGAACUGUAACACUUACUACGAAGAUGUGCAGCUGUACUCCUGAAGUCAGCGAGACCAGGAGCCCACCUGGAGGAAGAAACUGCAGACACAUUUGAAGGAACAACUCCGGACGAGGUCCCCGUAAGAACUCUAGCACUCACCGCGAGAGUCCGCAGGGCUUCAUUCUUGAAGUCAGGGAGGCCAAGAACCCACCAAUUCUGGACGGGGAGGGCUAAAUUGACAUAUAAAACAAGGUAUACAGUCUUUUGCAUGCAAAUACUCUGUUCGUUCUGAAAUGGAAAGUAGAAGUCCCGUAGCAGCUGGGUAACAGGGAGAGAGAAGAACUCUUUCAGGUCAUCAAUAACCUUGGUCCUUUGGAACUGAUUCUUAAUACUCCUAGCCAUCAUAGGGUUCAUCAUG